RNAcentral lists this unclassified non-coding RNA (328 nucleotides) under soil metagenome. RNAcentral describes it as "partial contains 5.8S ribosomal RNA, internal transcribed spacer 2, and large subunit ribosomal RNA". The stretch from base 1 to 120 matches the Rfam family "5.8S ribosomal RNA", at positions 35 to 154 of the family's 154-position model. The record is from RNAcentral.
GAUGAAGAACGCAGCGAAAUGCGAUAAGUAAUGUGAAUUGCAGAAUUCAGUGAAUCAUCGAAUCUUUGAACGCACAUUGCGCCCCCUGGUAUUCCGGGGGGCAUGCCUGUCCGAGCGUCAUUACAACCCUCAAGCUCAGCUUGGUAUUGGGCCCCGCCGACCCGGUGGGCCCUAAAGUCAGUGGCGGUGCCGUCCGGCUCCGAGCGUAGUAAUUCUUCUCGCUCUGGAGGUCCGGUCGUGUGCUCGCCAGCAACCCCCAAUUUUUUUCAGGUUGACCUCGGAUCAGGUAGGGAUACCCGCUGAACUUAAGCAUAUCAAUAGCGGAGGA